This 450-nucleotide ribosomal RNA is filed under the name uncultured bacterium. Its description in RNAcentral is "partial 16S ribosomal RNA". It matches the Rfam family "Bacterial small subunit ribosomal RNA", at positions 354 to 796 of the family's 1533-position model. The record is from RNAcentral.
GUGGGGAAUCUUCCGCAAUGGACGAAAGUCUGACGGAGCAACGCCGCGUGAGUGAUGAAGGUCUUCGGAUUGUAAAGCUCUGUUAAUCGGGACGAAAGAGCCUAGUGUGAAUAAUGCUAGGAAGUGACGGUACCGGAAUAGAAAGCCACGGCUAACUACGUGCCAGCAGCCGCGGUAAUACGUAGGUGGCAAGCGUUGUCCGGAAUUAUUGGGCGUAAAGCGCGCGCAGGCGGAUCUGCCAGUCUGUCUUAAAAGUUCGGGGCUUAACCCCGUGAUGGGAUGGAAACUACAGAUCUAGAGUAUCGGAGAGGAAAGUGGAAUUCCUAGUGUAGCGGUGAAAUGCGUAGAUAUUAGGAAGAACACCAGUGGCGAAGGCAACUUUCUGGACGAAAACUGACGCUGAGGCGCGAAAGCCAGGGGAGCGAACGGGAUUAGAAACCCUGGUAGUCC